CCUACGGGAGGCAGCAGUGAGGAAUAUUGGUCAAUGGCCGGAAGGCUGAACCAGCCAUGCCGCGUGAAGGUCAGUGCCCUAUGGGCGUUAAACUUCUUUUGUGCGGGAGCAAUAAUGGUCACGUGUGGCCAGACGAGAGUACCGUACGAAUAAGCAUCGGCUAACUCCGUGCCAGCAGCCGCGGUAAUACGGGGGAUGCAAGCGUUAUCCGGAUUUAUUGGGUUUAAAGGGUGCGUAGGCUGUGAGGUAAGUCAGCGGGGAAAUGCCCCCGCUCAACGGGGUGAAGUGCCAUUGAUACUGCCUUGCUGGAAUGCAGAUGCCGUAGGAGGAAGGUGUGGUGUAGCGGUGAAAUGCAUAGAUAUCACACAGAACACCGAUUGCGAAGGCAUCUCACGAAUCCGCGAUUGACGCUGAUGCACGAAAGCGUGGGUAUCAAACAGGAUUAGAUACCCGUGUAGUC
This 460-nucleotide ribosomal RNA is filed under the name uncultured bacterium. RNAcentral's name for it is "partial 16S ribosomal RNA". It matches the Rfam family "Bacterial small subunit ribosomal RNA", at positions 338 to 795 of the family's 1533-position model. The record is from RNAcentral.